Molecule: ribosomal RNA, 674 nt
Filed under: uncultured bacterium
Lineage: Bacteria
Description: bacterial SSU rRNA
Rfam family: Bacterial small subunit ribosomal RNA
Source: RNAcentral
GAGACAUAUGUUGAAUUGAAUCAUUCGAGCAGCGGACGGGUGAGUAAAGCACAAGGACUUGUCCGAAAGAGAGGGACACCUGCGGGAAACCGGAGCUAAUACCUCAUAAGCCGGAAGGUGAAAAGCAGAGAUGCGCUUUUGGAGAGACUUGUGUCCUAUCAGGCAGUUGGUGAGGUGAAAGCUCACCAAACCGAAGACGGGUAGCCGGACUGAGAGGUCGACCGGCCACAUUGGAACUGAGAGACGGUCCAGACUCCUACGGGAGGCAGCAGUGGGGAAUAUUGGGCAAUGGGCGGAAGCCUGACCCAGCGACGCCGCGUGAGGGAAGACAGCCUUCGGGUUGUAAACCUCUGUUGCAGGGGAAGAAGGAAGUGACGGUACCCUGCGAGGAAGCUCCGGCUAACUACGUGCCAGCAGCCGCGGUAAUACGUAGGGAGCGAGCGUUGUCCGGAAUUACUGGGCGUAAAGGGCGCGUAGGCGGCGCUUCAAGUCGUCUGUCAAAUGGAAGGGCUUAACCCUUUUUCGCAGGCGAAACUGGAGAGCUUGAGAAGCAGAGAGGCAAACAGAAUUCCUGGUGUAGCGGUGAAAUGCGUAGAUAUCAGGAAGAAUACCAGUGGCGAAGGCGGUUUGCUGGCUGCAUACUGACGCUGAAGCGCGAAAGCCAGGGGAGCGAA